AUGCGAAUAGUAUAUUUUAGUAAGUAUGCCUUCUUUCCAAGUAGGUGGUCUCUGUUGAAGGAGUUUGUAUA
Molecule: transfer RNA, 71 nt
Filed under: Tylodelphys immer
Lineage: Eukaryota; Metazoa; Platyhelminthes; Trematoda; Diplostomida; Diplostomidae
Description: tRNA-Gly
Source: RNAcentral